CCUACGGGGGGCUGCAGUAGGGAAUCUUUCACAAUGGGCGAAAGCCUGAUGGAGCAACGCCGCGUGCAGGAUGAAGGCCCUCGGGUUGUAAACCGUUUUUAUAAGCGAGAAAUAUGAUGGUAACUGUUGAAUAAGGAUCGGCUAACUACGUGCCAGCAGCAGCGGUCAUACGUAGGAUACGAGCAUUAUCCGGAGUGACUGGGUGUAAAGAGUUGCGUAUGAGGGAUAAUAAGUAGCUAGUGAAAUCUGGAGGGUCAACCAUUCAGACUAUUAGCUAAACUGUUAAGCUCGAGACCGUUAGAGGUAACUGGAAUUUCUAGUGUAGCGGUGAAAUCCGUAGAUAUUAGGAGGAACACCAAUUGCGUAGGCAGGUUACUGGACCGGUUCUGACACUGAGGCACGAAAGCGUAGGGAGCAAACAGGAUUAGAUACCCUUGUAGUC
RNAcentral lists this ribosomal RNA (442 nucleotides) under uncultured bacterium. Its description in RNAcentral is "partial 16S ribosomal RNA". It matches the Rfam family "Bacterial small subunit ribosomal RNA", at positions 338 to 795 of the family's 1533-position model. The record is from RNAcentral.